This 156-nucleotide unclassified non-coding RNA is filed under the name uncultured fungus. Its description in RNAcentral is "sequence contains ITS1, 5.8S rRNA gene". The record is from RNAcentral. Lineage: Eukaryota; Fungi.
CAGAGUCGUAAAAAACUCCCAACCCUAUGUGAACUUACCAUUGUUGCCUCGGCGGACCUACCCUGUAGCUACCCUGUAGCUGCCUGGCAGUUCCGCCGGUGGACUACUAAACUAUUGUUAUUUAUGGAUAUCUGAGCGUUUUAAACAAAUAAGUUA